RNAcentral lists this non-coding RNA (30 nucleotides) under Mus musculus (house mouse). Lineage: Eukaryota; Metazoa; Chordata; Mammalia; Rodentia; Muridae. The record is from RNAcentral.
UNGACUCAGGUUAUGGGUGUUCACAAAGGG